Molecule: long non-coding RNA, 572 nt
Organism: Spodoptera frugiperda (fall armyworm)
Lineage: Eukaryota; Metazoa; Arthropoda; Insecta; Lepidoptera; Noctuidae
Exons: 3
Source: RefSeq, a predicted model, not a curated record
GUUGAUAUGUGUAGCAUUAGUAUUAUUGCGACACCUUGACGUUAUGGAAUUUUCCUGAAAUUAAAUAAACGUAUCAUCGGUAAAUGAUUGUUACUACUAAAUAUGUUGCAUUACAAGUUUAAUUUUGAAAUUGAAAACAUUAAACAGCUACAUACGCAUCAGAAUUUGGAGUUGUAUAAAGACGAUGGGACUCGGAUUAAUUCUUAAGGAAAAUUAGAAGUACAUCAUUUUUAUCAGAUAAGUUCUAACAGUGCGGAAGAUUAAACAAUUCUCAGAGCAUGGGUGCAUACAAUACGUCCAAACGAUACAAAACAACAAACGAGGAACAGGAGUUUCAACUGAUCAAGAUUUUUAUUUACAAUGGUUCUCUCUAACGCAUUUUCGAAGCUGUAAAUAUGAAUGAAAGGUACAUAACUAUGCACAACAUAUUAUAAUACAUGAUUUAAUAACGACUGUUACGUCUAAACUCUGAAAUAACUAUUAAUCCUUGUCUAUCAAUACUGAUUGGUGUAUUCAAUAACAAUGCCUUACUGCACAGUUUGUCAUGUAUCUGUAGAUAAUAAUCGUCAGUG